UUUGUGACCUUUCAAUGAUCAG
RNAcentral lists this microRNA (22 nucleotides) under Strongyloides ratti. RNAcentral's name for it is "str-miR-7880k-3p". Lineage: Eukaryota; Metazoa; Nematoda; Chromadorea; Rhabditida; Strongyloididae. The record is from miRBase by way of RNAcentral.